GCAAAUUAAUAAUCUAGGUUCAACCAAAAUAGCUGCCCAGGAAUAGUCUGAAUGUCAAGCCUAAACAGCUAGAAAAUAGUAUGUUUAUACUGUCAGUGUAAAGAUGUGUUCUUAUUUCAGCUCAUAUUAGCCAAGAUUCACUGCAGUGAUUCUUUUGAGAGGGUGUAAUUCUAUGGAUCACUGUGAUCCAGCCAAGCCUACUAGUAAAAGUCAAGAAUUUUUGUCCUAUAUAAAAUUAAAUUGGAUUAAAAUUUAAUGAUUUGAGUAUCCAACAGCAAGCAGAAGUACUGAAUUAUUUGGUCCAUUUAAUUUACUGUGACUCAUUUGCUUGAGGAAAGAUCAGGUUCUGGUGAACAUAUAGAAGAAGCAGGCUCUAUGAAUUGUUUCAAUUUUCUCUAUUACCUCUAUCUUGUUUUAGUUUAUCUGUACACAGCAAUGCUUUACCCAUCUCUAACUACAACUGAUGAGUUUAUGAGAUGUCCAUGUACAGGUUUAAUCUGAAAGAGAUGUUCAUUUGCAAUGGGUCCCGCAACUUGUGUUGGCCACAAGUUCUUUCUCUGCCUUAGCAGAUUGAAGGCAGUUGACUCCGCUUACAUGAAUGGCUCAUCACUAUGCAUGCAAAAAGGAACAGAGCUCAGAAGGAAAGUCAUCAGACAUCCGUGGCACAGUUAUAAAGGGAGAAGUUGGAAGGAAGUUGUGAGCACUAAGCCAGACCAUAAAUAAAUGUCAAAGGAAAACCAUGGAAAGCUAAAAGAUCCUUCUUUCAUUUUGCCUAGUUGGGGAAUAUUUAUUCUUAGCACCUGCUGACAGCACAGAAGAGGCAUCUGUAUCCAAUUUGUGUUUUAAGUUCAGCAGGUGACAUUGAGAACAUUGUAUAAACAUAUGUCAAAGAGAUAGAGUUUAAUUCCUAUUAUAAAUAUAGAAUACUUAGGUUUCUA
Molecule: long non-coding RNA, 938 nt
Filed under: Anser brachyrhynchus (Pink-footed goose)
Lineage: Eukaryota; Metazoa; Chordata; Aves; Anseriformes; Anatidae
Description: lncRNA (ENSABRG00000020959.1)
Source: RNAcentral